UACGUAGGUGGCAAGCGUUGUCCGGAAUUAUUGGGCGUAAAGCGCGCGCAGGCGGCCUUUUAAGUCUGAUGUGAAAGCCCACGGCUCAACCGUGGAAGGUCAUUGGAAACUGAAGGGCUUGAGUACAGAAGAGGAAAGCGGAAUUCCACGUGUAGCGGUGAAAUGCGUAGAGAUGUGGAGGAACACCAGUGGCGAAGGCGGCUUCUGGACCAGCACUGACACUGAGGCACGAAAGCGUGGGGAGCAAACAGG
This 252-nucleotide ribosomal RNA is filed under the name uncultured bacterium. RNAcentral describes it as "partial 16S ribosomal RNA". It matches the Rfam family "Bacterial small subunit ribosomal RNA", at positions 524 to 776 of the family's 1533-position model. The record is from RNAcentral.